GUCGAGAAUCUUUCACAAUGGGGGCAACCCUGAUGGAGCGACGCCGCGUGGAGGAUAAGGUCUUCGGAUUGUAAACUCCUGUCAUGCGUGAACAAGGUUGCUUGGUUAAUACCUGGGCAAAUUGAUGGUAACGCAAGAGGAAGAGACGGCUAACUCUGUGCCAGCAGCCGCGGUAAUACAGAGGUCUCAAGCGUUGUUCGGAAUCACUGGGCGUAAAGGGUGCGUAGGAGGCGUGGUAAGUCAGAUGUGAAAGCCCGGGGCUCAACCUCGGAACUGCAUCGGAUACUGCCAUGCUAGAGUACUGGAGAGGUGACUAGAAUUCUCGGUGUAGCAGUGAAAUGCGUAGAUAUCGAGAGGAAUACCAAAGGCGUAGGCAGGUCACUGGACAGUUACUGACACUGAGGCACGAAGGCCAGGGGAGCGAACGGGAUUAGAAACCCUUGUAGUCC
RNAcentral lists this ribosomal RNA (449 nucleotides) under uncultured bacterium. Its description in RNAcentral is "partial 16S ribosomal RNA". It matches the Rfam family "Bacterial small subunit ribosomal RNA", at positions 354 to 796 of the family's 1533-position model. The record is from RNAcentral.